CUUUCCUAACUAAGAAACCCACAACUCAUCUCUUUCUUCGAACAUCCUAGAGAAGCUCAAUGUUAGUAGCAUAGCCUCUCAUCGCCUCCUUCAUUCAAUGGACCAGCAGUAUUGAAGAGAACAGAGAGGCCUACAACUGAAGCUCAUCGCCCCCUUUCCCUUUUUGAUUGGAGCCCUAGAUUCAAAGAUUUUGUCCCAUUUCUCUGCAAAUCGAUUGGAGCCCUAGAUUUGAAGACUUAAAGAGAAACUAGCAAAGGAGGGCGUAAGAGAUGUGUUGCAAGAAGAGCGUCUGAUGGGGAUUGUUCAUCCUCCACCAAUUAAAAGGUUGGUGGGUAGACCACACAAAAAUGUGAAGAAGGCACCAGAUGAAGGACCAUCCGAAGAGUUUUAAAAAAGAUCCAAUACUAUCAGUUGUGGAAGAUAUAAGUCCACUGAGCACAAUGUAAGGACAUGUACAAGACCUCCAGUGAAUGUCAAUGAUGCAUCUUCUAGGAAGAUAGUAAGAGAAAAGAGAAAAGAAAGAAGCAGAAGCUAAUAUACCAUCAACAAUUCAUAGGUAUUGACAAGGUCA
Molecule: long non-coding RNA, 571 nt
Organism: Macadamia integrifolia
Lineage: Eukaryota; Viridiplantae; Streptophyta; Magnoliopsida; Proteales; Proteaceae
Exons: 3
Source: RefSeq, a predicted model, not a curated record